CAGUCGCCGCGGUAAUACAGAGGGUGCGAGCGUUAAUCGGAUUUACUGGGCGUAAAGCGUGCGUAGGCGGCUUCUUAAGUCGGAUGUGAAAUCCCUGAGCUUAACUUAGGAAUUGCAUUCGAUACUGGGAAGCUAGAGUAUGGGAGAGGAUGGUAGAAUUCCAGGUGUAGCGGUGAAAUGCGUAGAGAUCUGGAGGAAUACCGAUGGCGAAGGCAGCCAUCUGGCCUAAUACUGACGCUGAGGUACGAAAGCAUGGGGAGCAAACAGGAUUAGAUACCCCCGUAGUCCCUGUCUCUUAUAU
This 301-nucleotide ribosomal RNA is filed under the name uncultured bacterium. RNAcentral describes it as "partial 16S ribosomal RNA". It matches the Rfam family "Bacterial small subunit ribosomal RNA", at positions 509 to 809 of the family's 1533-position model. The record is from RNAcentral.